This 515-nucleotide ribosomal RNA is filed under the name uncultured bacterium. RNAcentral describes it as "partial 16S ribosomal RNA". It matches the Rfam family "Bacterial small subunit ribosomal RNA", at positions 28 to 523 of the family's 1533-position model. The record is from RNAcentral.
GAUGAACGCUGGCGGCGUGCCUAAUACAUGUAAGUCGAGCGAAUGGAUUAAGAGCUUGCUCUUAUGAAGUUAGCGGCGGACGGGUGAGUAACACGUGGGUAACCUGCCCAUAAGACUGGGAUAACUCCGGGAAACCGGGGCUAAUACCGGAUAACAUUUUGAACCGCAUGGUUCGAAAUUGAAAGGCGGCUUCGGCUGUCACUUAUGGAUGGACCCGCGUCGCAUUAGCUAGUUGGUGAGGUAACGGCUCACCAAGGCAACGAUGCGUAGCCGACCUGAGAGGGUGAUCGGCCACACUGGGACUGAGACACGGCCCAGACUCCUACGGGAGGCAGCAGUAGGGAAUCUUCCGCAAUGGACGAAAGUCUGACGGAGCAACGCCGCGUGAGUGAUGAAGGCUUUCGGGUCGUAAAACUCUGUUGUUAGGGAAGAACAAGUGCUAGUUGAAUAAGCUGGCGCCUUGACGGUACCUAACCAGAAAGCCACGGCUAACUACGUGCCAGCCGCCGCCGUAA